GCCAACGUCCAUACCAUGUUGAAUACACCGGUUCUCGUCCGAUCACCGAAGUCAAGCAACAUCGGGCGUGGUCAGUAUUUGG
This is a non-coding RNA of Bombyx mori (domestic silkworm), 82 nucleotides long. The record is from Rfam. NCBI's taxonomy places the organism in Eukaryota, Metazoa, Arthropoda, Insecta, Lepidoptera, Bombycidae.